Molecule: transfer-messenger RNA, 399 nt
Filed under: bovine gut metagenome
Rfam family: transfer-messenger RNA
About the family: Bacterial tmRNA, also known as 10Sa RNA or SsrA, is named for its dual tRNA and mRNA-like properties. Its role is to liberate the mRNA from a stalled ribosome.
Source: RNAcentral
GGGGCUGACUGGCUUUGACAGCGUGUAGAGGUGGUAAGCAAGCAUGCAGAGCGAUAAUGGCAAGGCUCUUAAAUCUCAGUCAUUGACACAAUUAAAUGGCGAAAACAACUACGCUCUCGCUGCCUAACCGAAGCACAGUAAGUUCGGCUUUAUCACUGCCCAAGGGGCUGUGACGAGACAUCACCCAACUGCCCUCGCGCCGAGGCGGGUUGAUCAGGUGGUGCAGGAAUAUCGGCGAUAGGACAAGGUAAGCCUCGGGCCGCGUCCGAAAUUUAGAGGAUAAGCCACCGGUUGGUCGUCUUGGGCCUGCCAGCGGUCGAAAACCAAGCCAAGACUAAGCAUGUAGAAACCUUAUUAGUUCCACGUUUGGACGAGGGUUCAAACCCCUCCAGCUCCACC